UACGGGAGGCAGCAGUGGGGAAUAUUGCACAAUGGGCGCAAGCCUGAUGCAGCCAUGCCGCGUGUAUGAAGAAGGCCUUCGGGUUGUAAAGUACUUUCAGCAGUGAGGAAGGUGGGUAUGUUAAUAGCAUACUCAUUUGACGUUUAGCUGCAGAAGAAGCACCGGCUAACUCCGUGCCAGCAGCCGCGGUAAUACGGAGGGUGCGAGCGUUAAUCGGAAUUACUGGGCGUAAAGCGCAUGCAGGUGGUUUGUUAAGUCAGAUGUGAAAGCCCGGGGCUCAACCUCGGAAUUGCAUUUGAAACUGGCAAACUAGAGUACUGUAGAGGGGGGUAGAAUUUCAGGUGUAGCGGUGAAAUGCGUAGAGAUCUGAAGGAAUACCGGUGGCGAAGGCGGCCCCCUGGACAGAUACUGACACUCAGAUGCGAAAGCGUGGGGAGCAAACAGGAUUAGAUACCCUGGUAG
Molecule: ribosomal RNA, 462 nt
Filed under: uncultured bacterium
Lineage: Bacteria
Description: bacterial SSU rRNA
Rfam family: Bacterial small subunit ribosomal RNA
Source: RNAcentral